RNAcentral lists this long non-coding RNA (1429 nucleotides) under Sus scrofa (pig). Its description in RNAcentral is "lncRNA (ENSSSCG00060033683.1)". Lineage: Eukaryota; Metazoa; Chordata; Mammalia; Artiodactyla; Suidae. The record is from RNAcentral.
GAUCGUAUUGGGAGGCUGGCUCUGCCCAGUGCCAGCCUGUGCCCUACGGGCUGCGCCGGGCACAGGAGGGCCCUCUGUGGGCGCCUGCAUCAGCCUCCCUGCCUCCUGGCCCGUGUGCUGGUCUCCCAAAGGCCUGAGAAGGAACCUGCGUGGGAAUCCCCUGAGUUGCCCUGCAACCAGUGAGUCAUCCUUUUCCAGCCCGCCAGGACGGAGGUGUCACCCUGCUGAGCUGGCGGCCGGGUGGCCACUCUUCAGUCAGCAGCCCUUCCUUGCCAAGCUCCCUGUCCCCAGCGCUCCGCCCCCAAAAUGUGUGCAUGACAAACAAUCCUCUGAAAGCGGCAGUCCCUAACGCGAGAGCGUUUUCAUGCUGGGAGAUCGGCAGGUACUUCCAGGCUGGAUCAGCCCCAGCAGUGCCAAGGGCUGUAGGCAGCCGCCUUCCUGGGAAGCAAGACUUUGUCCGGGAAACCUCCUCUGGACGCAGGGUGGGGCCCCGAGCCCAGGGCUUCUGCGUUGUCCCCAAUGCGGGAAGGGGGAGUGGGCUCUGACCCUCCCGGGGGAGUCACCGCAGAAGGCGACUUCCUCAUUUUACCCUGAAGAAAGAGGGGUGCAGUGCUGCAGGUGAAGCUCCCCUCGGCAGCAGGAACCCUGCGGAGGCGUCACAGGACGGCCCCGGCCUCCCAGCGCCGGGAGGAGAUCCGUUUAGGUCCGUUAGAGCUGGCUUAGCUGUGGGGUUAGAGAGAAACCCCAUGGAACUUGCGGGGGGAGGACUGGGAGACGUUUCCGCAGCUGCUUGUGGCAAACUCAGCCUCCAAGUUCAUGGAGCUUGUGUUGGAGGCAGGGUGGCCUCACGGCUGGGUCCCAGGCCUGUGGCGUUUGGGGAAUUCCAACUCCAAGCCCAGUGAUGAUUUAUGCAGUGAGAUGUGUGCACUUCUGGACUCAGCAUAGACAGUUUAAAUCACAGAACUUCAAAGCCUGCCUGGUUUCUCUACUCUGUCCUUGAACAGUUUGCACGGUUUCUCCUGAUCCCCCCGGAGCAAGGGUGCCCUUGUGCUGUGUGACCUGGGUAAGGAAUGGUGCCUCUCUGAGCCUUUCCUUUUCUGAAAAGUGGGGAGUUCUGUCCCCAUGUGCAGAUGCUGGUAUCCGAUGCUGUUCUCAGAUAUGGAGAAAGCCCGUGUUCCCCAUUAGAGGAUCCAGAUGGUCCUAGCUGCCCUUUAGCGAUAAAGAAACGGCCCGGCCCCGGGUCACACACAGCGGCAGUGGUGGGGUCAACACUCGGCUCUCUCCGUGCUGCCUCUUUUUUUCCCGCCAAGCCCACCCCGUUUCUAAAUGUUUCCACCUGUGUAUUUCCACGGGCCGUGGUUUCCACGUUUUCAGUUUUGUUUGGUGUAAAAUUCACAUAGUAUAAAAUUCACCGUUUCAACUAGAAACG